Molecule: ribosomal RNA, 261 nt
Filed under: uncultured prokaryote
Description: partial 16S ribosomal RNA
Rfam family: Bacterial small subunit ribosomal RNA
Source: RNAcentral
UACGUAGGUGGCGAGCGUUGUCCGGAUUUACUGGGCGUAAAGGGAGCGUAGGCGGACUUUUAAGUGAGAUGUGAAAUACCCGGGCUCAACUUGGGUGCUGCAUUUCAAACUGGAAGUCUAGAGUGCAGGAGAGGAGAAUGGAAUUCCUAGUGUAGCGGUGAAAUGCGUAGAGAUUAGGAAGAACACCAGUGGCGAAGGCGAUUCUCUGGACUGUAACUGACGCUGAGGCUCGAAAGCGUGAGGAGCAAACAGGAUUAGAUA